CCGAAUUAUUGUUUAAUGGCGAACAGUGGUUUCUGAAUGAAAAAGUGAAGGAUUGCGGUUGUUGACCCCCGUUUUAAAAUUUCUGUCCACUACAAAAGUAGACCAUACACGAAGGCUUCUCUUCAAGACUGAAUGAGUUGGAGGAUGGAUAUGGCGAAGAACUUCAAACUUUUCACCAGAACCGGCAUAUAAUUGAAUGAAUAUUCCAACAAACGUUUGAACAGAAUUCUUUGAUGCAGUGCAACAAUUGGUGUGAAUAUGUCACACAUCUUGUGUUAAAGAAAACCAAGACGAGAUAGACAAUGCCUGGUGAUGGCAAAACGAUUCUCUCCCUGAAGUCUGGAUCUCAUUACUGCUAAUUUCUUGUUAAUUAACCAUGAAUCCUGAAAAAGAGAUAUAUAAUUUCUGCAAGGCAGUUGUCUUCCCCACUUCCUUAUUAUUGAAAUAAUACCAAAAUUUAGUUAAUAUUCAACGACGCCGAUCUGAUUCAAUUACUAUGAUAUAGUUUAAUACAGAUGGUAUUUUCAGGUAUCUGGAUGAAGACGCCAUUCUAAGAAAAUAUUUUCAAAUUUUUAAAGUGUAAUCUGUAUUUUGCCAUAUGUUCGCAAUGUUGCAAAUUUCAUAACUAUAAAAAGUACAACCAAGACCUAUCAGUUAUAAUAUUUUGACUGAGCAUGUAAAUUUUUUCUAUCUUUCACAAAUAAACAAAAUCAAAACAA
Molecule: long non-coding RNA, 719 nt
Organism: Ostrea edulis (European flat oyster)
Lineage: Eukaryota; Metazoa; Mollusca; Bivalvia; Ostreida; Ostreidae
Exons: 2
Source: RefSeq, a predicted model, not a curated record